GUAGGGAAUCUUCGGCAAUGGACGAAAGUCUGACCGAGCAACGCCGCGUGAGUGAAGAAGGUUUUCGGAUCGUAAAACUCUGUUGUUAGAGAAGAACAAGGGUGAGAGUAACUGUUCACCCCUUGACGGUAUCUAACCAGAAAGCCACGGCUAACUACGUGCCAG
Molecule: ribosomal RNA, 165 nt
Filed under: uncultured bacterium
Lineage: Bacteria
Description: partial 16S ribosomal RNA
Rfam family: Bacterial small subunit ribosomal RNA
Source: RNAcentral